UUAAGUUCAGCGGGUAUUCCUACCUGAUCCGAGGUCAACAUUUAGAAAUUUCAUCAAUUGACUGACAACAUCCUACCAGCUAGACGACGUUUGUGCGCCUGUGGUUGAAUAUCACCAUCGCUGAUUUUGAGGCCCGCUGGGAGACCAGCGCAGGCCCAAUACCAAGCAGAGCUUGAAGGUUGAAAUGACGCUCGAACAGG
This 200-nucleotide unclassified non-coding RNA is filed under the name Lecanoromycetes sp. RNAcentral describes it as "partial internal transcribed spacer 2". Lineage: Eukaryota; Fungi; Ascomycota; Lecanoromycetes. The record is from RNAcentral.